RNAcentral lists this ribosomal RNA (253 nucleotides) under uncultured bacterium. Its description in RNAcentral is "partial 16S ribosomal RNA". It matches the Rfam family "Bacterial small subunit ribosomal RNA", at positions 524 to 776 of the family's 1533-position model. The record is from RNAcentral.
UACGUAGGGGGCAAGCGUUGUCCGGAUUUAUUGGGCGUAAAGAGCGUGUAGGCGGCCAUACAGGUCAGCUGUGAAAACUCGAGGCUCAACCUCGAGACGUCGGUUGAAACCGUAUGGCUAGAGUCCGGAAGAGGAGAGUGGAAUUCCCGGUGUAGCGGUGAAAUGCGCAGAUAUCGGAAAGAAUACCCGUGGCGAAGGCGGCUCUCUGGGACGGUACUGACGCUGAGACGCGAAAGCGUGGGGAGCGAACAGG